Trichobilharzia regenti is the source of this 46-nucleotide non-coding RNA. The record is from Rfam. NCBI's taxonomy places the organism in Eukaryota, Metazoa, Platyhelminthes, Trematoda, Strigeidida, Schistosomatidae.
GUACUUCUGAAGAGUUCCAUACUAGGACGAAACAGCUGUCUAGUAC